This 253-nucleotide ribosomal RNA is filed under the name uncultured bacterium. RNAcentral describes it as "partial 16S ribosomal RNA". It matches the Rfam family "Bacterial small subunit ribosomal RNA", at positions 524 to 776 of the family's 1533-position model. The record is from RNAcentral.
UACGGAGGUCCCAAGCGUUGUUCGGAUUCACUGGGCGUAAAUGGUGCGUAGGCGGUUGGGAAAGUUCGAUGUGAAAUCUCCGGGCUCAACCUGGAAAUUGCAUUGAAAACUAUUCGACUAGAGGAUUGUAAGGGAGACUGGAAUUCGCGGUGUAGCAGUGAAAUGCGUAGAUAUGGAGAGGAACACCAGUGGCGAAGGCGAGUCUCUGGACAAUUCCUGACGCUGAGGCGCGAAAGCUAGGGGAGCAAACAGG